GCCACUACAGGAAGUAUAUGGAGGAAGCAUUGCCUAGCCCAGAGCUUUGGUAUAGAAUUGAGUUGUCAGAGACAAGUCUUGAGCAAGAGCAUAUCCUCUUUCUGUUUUGUACUGGAUGUCUUCAUCCUUGACAGGGGUUCCGGGUUGCAGUCUGGUCUAUCCCAUGGGUGUGUCCUGCUGUGCAGACUGUAUCACCAGUUCUGUUUGCUGUUUAUGUGGAGAUCUGGCAUGAGACUCUGCCAUGGGCCUUAGAGCUGCUCUUCUUGGACUUGGGUUUUUAAUGGCACAGAAGAUUUGGGCACAAUAUGGGCAACCACCCCAGCCUUCCAUCUGGGCAGUUCCAGGAUCUGUGAUUUCCACAGGCAGUGCUGUGACCAUCUUCUGCAGGACUCUUCCAGGAGUGACUAUUGUGCGUCUAAUCAAUGAUAAAGUGUAUUUUGAUUGUACCAUAC
Molecule: non-coding RNA, 452 nt
Organism: Peromyscus maniculatus bairdii (prairie deer mouse)
Lineage: Eukaryota; Metazoa; Chordata; Mammalia; Rodentia; Cricetidae
Source: RefSeq, a predicted model, not a curated record